GACGAACCGUGCGAACGUUAUUCGGAAUCACUGGGCUUAAAGCGCGUGUAGGCGGGACGGCACGUCGGUCGCUGAAAGCCCCCGGCUCAACCGGGGAACGGGCGCCGAUACGACCGGCCUGGAGGGACGUAGGGGGACCUGGAACUUCCGGUGGAGCGGUGAAAUGCGUUGAGAUCGGAAGGAACGCCCGUGGCGAAAGCGAGGUCCUGGACGUUUUUUCUGACGCUGAGACGCGAAAGCCAGGGGGAGCGAACGGG
Molecule: ribosomal RNA, 257 nt
Filed under: uncultured bacterium
Lineage: Bacteria
Description: partial 16S ribosomal RNA
Rfam family: Bacterial small subunit ribosomal RNA
Source: RNAcentral